This 387-nucleotide ribosomal RNA is filed under the name Levilactobacillus brevis. RNAcentral's name for it is "Lactobacillus brevis partial 16S ribosomal RNA". It matches the Rfam family "Bacterial small subunit ribosomal RNA", at positions 96 to 476 of the family's 1533-position model. Lineage: Bacteria; Bacillati; Bacillota; Bacilli; Lactobacillales; Lactobacillaceae. The record is from RNAcentral.
UGGCGAACUGGUGAGUAACACGUGGGGAAUCUGCCCAGAAGCAGGGGAUAACACUUGGAAACAGGUGCUAAUACCGUAUAACAACAAAAUCCSCAUGGAUUUUGUUUGAAAGGKGGCUUCGGCUAUCACUUCUGGAUGAUCCCSCGGCGUAUUAGUUAGUUGGUGAGGUAAAGGCCCMCCAAGACSAUGAUACSUARCCSACCUGARAGGGUAAUCSGCCACAUUGGGACUGARACACGGCCCAAACUCCUACGGGAGGCAGCAGUAGGGAAUCUUCCACAAUGGACGAAAGUCUGAUGGAGCAAUGCCGCGUGAGUGAAGAAGGGUUUCGGCUCGUAAAACUCUGUUGUUAAAGAAGAACACCUUUGAGAGUAACUGUUCAAGGGU